This 22-nucleotide microRNA is filed under the name Monodelphis domestica (gray short-tailed opossum). RNAcentral describes it as "mdo-miR-7262i-3p". The record is from miRBase by way of RNAcentral. Lineage: Eukaryota; Metazoa; Chordata; Mammalia; Didelphimorphia; Didelphidae.
UUAAACUGUACUAAGACUUUUG